AGUCUGAUGUGAAAGCCCCCGGCUCAACCGGGGAGGGUCAUUGGAAACUGGGGAACUUGAGUGCAGAAGAGGAGAGUGGAAUUCCACGUGUAGCGGUGAAAUGCGUAGAGAUGUGGAGGAACACCAGUGGCGAAGGCGACUCUCUGGUCUGUAACUGACGCUGAGGAGCGAAAGCGUGGGGAGCGAACAGGAUUAGAUACCCUGGUAGUCCACGCCGUAAACGAUGAGUGCUAAGUGUUAGGGGGUUUCCGCCCCUUAGUGCUGCAGCUAACGCAUUAAGCACUCCGCCUGGGGAGUACGGUCGCAAGACUGAAACUCAAAGGAAUUGACGGGGGCCCGCACUAGCGGUGGAGCAUGUGGUUUAAUUCUAUUCAACGCGAAGAACCUUACCAG
Molecule: ribosomal RNA, 393 nt
Filed under: Bacillus subtilis
Lineage: Bacteria; Bacillati; Bacillota; Bacilli; Caryophanales; Bacillaceae
Description: bacterial SSU rRNA
Rfam family: Bacterial small subunit ribosomal RNA
Source: RNAcentral